RNAcentral lists this ribosomal RNA (1021 nucleotides) under Faucicola osloensis. Its description in RNAcentral is "bacterial SSU rRNA". It matches the Rfam family "Bacterial small subunit ribosomal RNA", at positions 56 to 1076 of the family's 1533-position model. Lineage: Bacteria; Pseudomonadati; Pseudomonadota; Gammaproteobacteria; Moraxellales; Moraxellaceae. The record is from RNAcentral.
UGCAGUCGAACGAUGAUUAUCUAGCUUGCUAGAUAUGAUUAGUGGCGGACGGGUGAGUAACAUUUAGGAAUCUGCCUAGUAGUGGGGGAUAGCUCGGGGAAACUCGAAUUAAUACCGCAUACGACCUACGGGUGAAAGGGGGCGCAAGCUCUUGCUAUUAGAUGAGCCUAAAUCAGAUUAGCUAGUUGGUGGGGUAAAGGCCCACCAAGGCGACGAUCUGUAACUGGUCUGAGAGGAUGAUCAGUCACACCGGAACUGAGACACGGUCCGGACUCCUACGGGAGGCAGCAGUGGGGAAUAUUGGACAAUGGGGGCAACCCUGAUCCAGCCAUGCCGCGUGUGUGAAGAAGGCCUUUUGGUUGUAAAGCACUUUAAGCAGGGAGGAGAGGCUAAUGGUUAAUACCCAUUAGAUUAGACGUUACCUGCAGAAUAAGCACCGGCUAACUCUGUGCCAGCAGCCGCGGUAAUACAGAGGGUGCGAGCGUUAAUCGGAAUUACUGGGCGUAAAGCGAGUGUAGGUGGCUCAUUAAGUCACAUGUGAAAUCCCCGGGCUUAACCUGGGAACUGCAUGUGAUACUGGUGGUGCUAGAAUAUGUGAGAGGGAAGUAGAAUUCCAGGUGUAGCGGUGAAAUGCGUAGAGAUCUGGAGGAAUACCGAUGGCGAAGGCAGCUUCCUGGCAUAAUAUUGACACUGAGAUUCGAAAGCGUGGGUAGCAAACAGGAUUAGAUACCCUGGUAGUCCACGCCGUAAACGAUGUCUACUAGCCGUUGGGGUCCUUGAGACUUUAGUGGCGCAGUUAACGCGAUAAGUAGACCGCCUGGGGAGUACGGCCGCAAGGUUAAAACUCAAAUGAAUUGACGGGGGCCCGCACAAGCGGUGGAGCAUGUGGUUUAAUUCGAUGCAACGCGAAGAACCUUACCUGGUCUUGACAUAGUGAGAAUCCUGCAGAGAUGCGGGAGUGCCUUCGGGAAUUCACAUACAGGUGCUGCAUGGCUGUCGUCAGCUCGUGUCGUGAGAUGUU